UAUUUUAAUUUUCAAAUGACUCACUUUAACUACGAAUGUAAAUAGUAAUAAACUAGUGUUCAACCCCCGCGUUGCGGGGCGGGGGUCGUAAAACCGUAUUAAGUAUGUUUCUAAGAUCCUACUUUAAUUACUAUACUUUUGGGUUAACCUGCACGUUGUAGCGAGUUUUGUAGCGGCAUCUUACAUGCUUUACAAACAGGGGCCCUUUCAUAUUGUUACCUAGAGAUAAGAUAAAACCAUUUAGCCAAACCAAAACCUACAAAACUGAACGAUAACCAACAAUCAUGGUUUGGUUAUGCGGUGCGUUAAAACCGAAACGUGAGGCGGCACUGCACCUUUUUUUUGCACCACACUAAAUUUUAUUUGAACGGUUGUUAUUAAAUUAUAGCACAUUUCAUUUUUUUGGAAUAAAACUUUCUAAACUAAAUGUUAUAAACACACCUUUUGGUUAGCUGUCAUUUUUUAAUUGCAAUUAAGGAUUCAUAAUGCUUUUACCUGAUCAAACACACCCUGCAAUUUACUUUUUCUUUUGACUGUUUCUAGAAACCACAAGCAACCCCUGCCUUCAUCCACACACAAUCAAACCUGGAAUAUUUUUUGUCACUCAUAUGUGAACAGUUCAAAUUAUACUCAUCCCUUCUUCCCUAAAGACGAUAUGUACUGAUAUAGUGAUACAAUUACUUAUCUUUACACCGAUACAACCAAUUUAUAGAAGAUUUAUAUAUGGAAGAUUUCUUCACAAAUUAUAAUUUCUUCUCGCUCGUUGGUAUCCUUGUCUAAAUGUAUAACUAAGAUGUUAUUUAGGUGGUCGGAUGUCGCCCAUCUGAACAUGCAUGGCGAAAACGACUCGCCAGAGAUUGCCCGAAACGUCGCCGGAACCCUAGCCGCCAUCGUUGGAGGCGGCGGCUAGGUGGUGAAACACCCUCAACGAUCUCCUUGCAGCCAUAGUAUUCAUUGAUGGUAUUUGUUGUAGACGUCGGACACUGUUUUGAGGUGGACCAUUGAUGGUGUUGCCGCCGUAGCGCCGCCACGGAACCACCGUCCUCGGCCCCUCCCUUCUAACUCCUUAUCUCUAACUCUUUGUGUCGAUAACCAUCUCUUUCUACUCCUCACGUUUUCUAUCUCUCUUCCUUUUAAUUUGAACAAAGGCGGUUAGGAACCUAGGGUUUUUUCAUUGAUAUAAGCAGGUGGGUGCCGUGAUGGCGACUGGAAUUAAGACAAGAUAUAUGUAAAACUAAAGGCGUACCUUGUUAUGUAGGAUUGACGCUUCUUCGUCAAAAGACAGCCACGACUCCUCUUGACUUAUCUGCAUAAUAUGUGUUACCAAAUUCACAUUCUACCAUUUUUAUACGGUCAACAAACAGUCAAGCACAAAGUAAACAUACCUUGGGAGCUAAAGUGGCUUUUGAGUCAUCCUGCGCUUCAGCUUUUGUCGUUGCAGACCCGUCAAAUAUAGACGGAAGCUCUUGAACUAGAAGUUUCGAACCUUGUGCAAAUAGCAGAUCAAGCAAUUCGGGAGCCUGCACAAAAAUAUAUUAUUCACUUAAAUGAGUUAUGGUUCAAUCGUCUAGAGCUCGGACAGUGAAUGCUAAUGAUACUCCGGUCUUUUUAACUCCAUCCAGAUAAAUUUUGUAUUUUUACAUUGGCGUAAAAGUUUACUAGUUAACAUAAUAUAUACACACACACUUAAUAUAUUAAUUAUAAAUUGUAUAAAUAACGUGCUUGUUUAGGCUCAUGAGCCAGCUCGAGUUCGUUUACUAAACAAGCUUAUUUUUAGUCCCAGGCUCGUUUCGAGUAGCAUGCAAGUAGUUCGGCUCGUUUACACCCCUAACUUAAACAACUAACCAAGUUACUUAUAC
Molecule: long non-coding RNA, 1859 nt
Filed under: Helianthus annuus (common sunflower)
Lineage: Eukaryota; Viridiplantae; Streptophyta; Magnoliopsida; Asterales; Asteraceae
Description: hypothetical non coding rna
Source: RNAcentral